This 277-nucleotide ribosomal RNA is filed under the name uncultured eukaryote. Its description in RNAcentral is "partial 18S ribosomal RNA". It matches the Rfam family "Eukaryotic small subunit ribosomal RNA", at positions 21 to 300 of the family's 1831-position model. The record is from RNAcentral.
UAGUCAUAUGCUUGUCUCAAAGAUUAAGCCAUGCAUGUCUAAGUAUAAGCAACUAUACAGUGAAACUGCGAAUGGCUCAUUAAAUCAGUUAUAAUUUAUUUGAUAAACUACUUACCAAAUGGAUAACCGUGGUAAUUCUAGAGCUAAUACAUGCACGAAGCCCCGACUUCAGGAAGGGGUGUAUUUAUUAGAUAAAAAACCAAUGAGGGCAACCUCCUAGUUGGUGAGUCAUAAUAACUUGUCGAAUCGCUAAGCCUUUGGCGGCGAUGAAUCAUUC